RNAcentral lists this long non-coding RNA (709 nucleotides) under Physcomitrium patens. Its description in RNAcentral is "long non-coding RNA (PPAT_LNC014049)". The record is from RNAcentral. Lineage: Eukaryota; Viridiplantae; Streptophyta; Bryopsida; Funariales; Funariaceae.
GGAGGGUCUCAUGCAAGCAGCCGAAGGACGACACGAAUUCCCUGAAUUCAACUUCGUUGGAGGAAUCGUAAGUCCACCAUUUGAUGGGUCCCUUUCGUUGCAUCAAAAGCGAUCCCAAUCCGACGACCCACAACCGAUUCUUUCUUGCGAGUUGAUGUUUCUACGCCCGAAACUGCCUUUGGGAUUUUGUAUCAGAUACUUUAAUGUGCGGCGCUGAAGCCGCGGCACCCCACUUGCAAUUUCCUUUUGUGUUUUUGUUUGCGCCACUUGAGAAUUGAGCUUGGUAGGACCUAGUCCGUCUCCUGUGUUGACUGGUAACGACUCGUCUUUUUUUCUUCGAUCAUGUGGAAUGUGUGGCUAACAAAACGCCUGUCGUCUAUCUCUUGGCCGACAUAAUAGGUUUGCAGCAUCCGGGGGCCAACACUGUUGAGAGGGUUUCGCUGUAGGGAAUGUGAUGACGCUUUUUCCUUCUACGCGUUCAAGGCUUUGGCACUGUUCAAUUCUGCCACGCAGGCCGACGCGGGCAGCUCAAACUCCGUCUUCCUUGAAACCCGAAGACGAUAAGAUUUUUUAAAGGGGAUCUCAGUCCAUAUAGGGUUUUUCGCAGUGUCUGGGAUGAGUUGCCCACUGUGCCACAAGAUGUUGAUGAUUCUCGUCGCUAUAAAUAAAUCCUGUCUGGAAAUACAAAACUCUGUUGCCGAAGGGUUCA